AACGAACGCUGGCGGCGUGCCUAACACAUGCAAGUCGAGCGAGAAAGCCCGCAAGGGUGAGUACAGCGGCGCACGGGUGCGUAACACGUGAGUAAUCUGCCCUGGAGCCCGGAAUAACCUCCCGAAAGGGAAGCUAAUGCCGGAUGAGCCCACGGGGUCCUUGGACUCUGAGGGAAAAGGCGGCCUCUGUAUACAAGCUGUCACUUCAGGAUGAGCUCGCGGCCCAUCAGCUAGUUGGCGGGGUAAUGGCCCACCAAGGCUACGACGGGUAGCUGGUCUGAGAGGACGAUCAGCCACACUGGAACUGAGACACGGUCCAGACCCCUACGGGAGGCAGCAGUGGGGAGUCUUGCGCAAUGGGCGAAAGCCUGACGCAGCAACGCCGCGUGUGUGAUGAAGGUCUUCGGAUCGUAAAGCACUGUCGCGAGGGACGAAUAAGGGCCGGGUGAACAAUCCGGUCUGAUGACGGUACCUCGAGAGGAAGCACCGGCUAACUCUGUGCCAGCAGCCGCGGUAAUACAGAGGGUGCAAGCGUUGUUCGGAAUUAUUGGGCGUAAAGCGCGUGUAGGCGGCCUGGCAAGUUGGGUGUGAAAGCCCUCGGCUUAACCGAGGAAGUGCGCCCAAAACUACGAGGCUUGAGUACCGGAGAGGGUGGCGGAAUUCCCGGUGUAGAGGUGAAAUUCGUAGAUAUCGGGAGGAACACCAGUGGCGAAGGCGGCUACCUGGACGGAUACUGACGCUGAGACGCGAAAGCGUGGGGAGCAAACAGGAUUAGAUACCCUGGUAGUCCACGCCGUAAACGAUGAGCGCUAGGUGUUGUGGGUGUUGACCCCUGCAGUGCCGCAGCUAACGCAUUAAGCGCUCCGCCUGGGAAGUACGGCCGCAAGGCUA
This 891-nucleotide ribosomal RNA is filed under the name uncultured bacterium. RNAcentral's name for it is "bacterial SSU rRNA". It matches the Rfam family "Bacterial small subunit ribosomal RNA", at positions 28 to 896 of the family's 1533-position model. The record is from RNAcentral.